AUACGGAGGAUGCGAGCGUUAUCCGGAUUUAUUGGGUUUAAAGGGUGCGUAGGCUGUGCGUUAAGUCAGGGGUGAAAUGCCGUCGCUCAACGACGGAGCUGCCCUUGAUACUGGCGUGCUGGAGUACGGAUGCCGUUGGAGGAAUGAGUGGUGUAGCGGGGAAAUGCUUAGAUAUCACUCAGAACACCGAUUGCGAAGGCAUCUGACGAAUCCGUCACUGACGCUGAGGCUCGAAAGCGUGGGGAUAGAACAGGAUUAGAUACCCUGGUAUUCCACGCCGUAAACGAUGAUGACUAACCGUCGGCGAUAGACAGCCGGUGGCCAAGCGAAAGCGAUAAGUCAUCCACCUGGGGAGUACGUCGGCAACGAUGAAACUCAAAGGAAUUGACGGGG
Molecule: ribosomal RNA, 393 nt
Filed under: uncultured bacterium
Lineage: Bacteria
Description: partial 16S ribosomal RNA
Rfam family: Bacterial small subunit ribosomal RNA
Source: RNAcentral